This 503-nucleotide ribosomal RNA is filed under the name Lerista anyara (Olkola slider skink). RNAcentral's name for it is "partial large subunit ribosomal RNA". It matches the Rfam family "Bacterial large subunit ribosomal RNA", at positions 1849 to 2609 of the family's 2925-position model. Lineage: Eukaryota; Metazoa; Chordata; Lepidosauria; Squamata; Scincidae. The record is from RNAcentral.
AAGGUCCUGCCUGCCCAGUGAAAACUUUAAACGGCCGCGGUAUUCUAACCGUGCAAAGGUAGCGUAAUCACUUGUCUUCUAAAUAAAGACCAGUAUGAACGGCUAAAUGAGGACAAAACUGUCUCCUACGGCCAAUCAGUGAAAUUGAUCUCCCAGUCCAAAAGCUGGAAUACUAACAUAAGACGAGAAGACCCUGUGGAGCUUGAAGUCUAUCUAGUAAAACACACUAGCACAAACUUUAAGUUGGGGCGACUUCGGAAAAAAACAAAACUUCCGAGCACAGAACCACCAGUUCUAACCAGGGCAAACAAGCCGAAGCAAAAACUGACCCAGUCACACUGAUCAACGAACCAAGUUACCCCAGGGAUAACAGCGCCAUCCUCUUCAAGAGUCCAUAUCGACAAGAGGGUUUACGACCUCGAUGUUGGAUCAGGGCACCCCGAUGGUGCAACCGCUAUCAAAGGUUCGUUUGUUCAACGAUUAACAGCCCUACGUGAUCUGAG